Molecule: long non-coding RNA, 1258 nt
Organism: Papaver somniferum (opium poppy)
Lineage: Eukaryota; Viridiplantae; Streptophyta; Magnoliopsida; Ranunculales; Papaveraceae
Exons: 3
Source: RefSeq, a predicted model, not a curated record
UCUAGCUGCCAACCACAUAAAACCCAAUCUACUCAACUCAUCCGAGUCUUAACAACCUUCUUGUUUCACAAUCAAAUCAAACGCAUCAUUCAAGUAUUGUCUUAACUUUCAAUCCAAAACCCAGAAUUCCAUCAAUCAUGACCAGUUCAAACAAUUAUGUUACCGAUUUCAGAUUCAAAUCAAACUCAUGUUCUAAUUUCAACGGCACCAGAGAUAUCAAUUUGCAAUUGCAGUAAAAUCCAUCUUCUUUCUUCCACAUCUUUUGAUGCCGCUUAGGGAAGAAGAACAGAGAAGUGAAAACAAAAGUAGGGUUCUUCCUCGUUUCAAAUUAAGAUUUUUUUGAAGAAAAUUAGAGUUCAUACAAAUCUUCAAAUAUGUGGAGUAAGAACAGUGGUUGUUAUGAUUUUUUUUUCUUCAAAACUUUUGCUUUAAAUCUCCAGAUCUAAGUACUUAAGAGUGAAAUCGAAGAAAUAAGAAGAGAAAUCGUUCAUUUAAAAUCAAUUGUUUGAUGUAGACUCGUUCGGUUUCAAUUUCAAUUUCGUUGUAUUUUCUACAACUCGGUCUCUGUUCUUCAACACCCUUAUAUGUUUUUCAGAAUUGAAGCCUCGAAUCUCAAACAUUGUGUCUAUGCCAGUUGAACCGCAAAUUUCCUUGCUCUCUUAGCGUUAAUGAAUUGGUUUGUGAUGGCUUAAUUGUUUUACAUUAAGGGGACUUGAAGUUGUUUCUCAAAUGAUUGGAAUCUUUUGAUUUUAAAGUUUAUUUAUGCUUUGCUAGCAAGCUGCAUCUAACCUUUCAUAUAUAUUUGCACAAGCUGUUGGAAAGGUGCUACCUGCAUUAAAUGGUAAGUUAACUGGAGUAGUUUUCCAUGUUCCUACUAUUGAUGUCUCUGUGCUUGAGAAGAAGGAGGCAUACGGUCAGAUUAAAAGAUUAAGGCUGCUAUCAAGAAAGUGAAAGUGAAGAUGAUGGUCUUGAUUUAGGCGAUGAUGAUGUUCAUGUACAUGCUGAUCCGGUGGUGAAGAUGACCCAGACACCUUGUCCACCCAAGGAGCAGAAGGCAGCUUUUAAAGAAGGAGCUGAAGGAAAAGGAACUUGCAGAACUUGAUGCUGUUUUGGCUGAGCUAGGAAUUGACACAUUAUGCGCUACUGAGAACCUGAAUUACAUCUUGAAUCUUUCGAUCAAACUGAUAUUUGAAUCUCAAUCUAUCAAUUAUUUUGUUUGUUGGUUAUGUAAUUACAAUAACGAAAGAAACUGUCAAUU